This 301-nucleotide ribosomal RNA is filed under the name uncultured bacterium. RNAcentral describes it as "partial 16S ribosomal RNA". It matches the Rfam family "Bacterial small subunit ribosomal RNA", at positions 509 to 807 of the family's 1533-position model. The record is from RNAcentral.
CAGCAGCCGCGGUAACACGAAGGGGGCUAGCGUUGUUCGGAUUUACUGGGCGUAAAGGGCGCGUAGGCGGACUGAUAAGUCAGGGGUGAAAUCCCAAGGCUCAACCUUGGAACUGCCUUUGAUACUGUUUGUCUUGAGUUCGAGAGAGGUAAGUGGAACUGCGAGUGUAGAGGUGAAAUUCGUAGAUAUUCGCAGGAACACCAGUGGCGAAGGCGGCUUACUGGCUCGAAGCUGACGCUGAGGCGCGAAAGCGUGGGGAGCAAACAGGAUUAGAUACCCCUGUAGUCCCUGUCUCUUAUAC